Molecule: long non-coding RNA, 324 nt
Organism: Leptopilina boulardi
Lineage: Eukaryota; Metazoa; Arthropoda; Insecta; Hymenoptera; Figitidae
Exons: 4
Source: RefSeq, a predicted model, not a curated record
AAAAAUCGCGUAUUUUAUUUAAUAAAACUGGUAGGCACCCUGAUUUUGUAUUUCAAUUGAUUCAAAUAUUUUGUGCAGAAUUUUUUCGUGUGCUUCAAGAUUGCAAGAGAUGUCCAACCCUGUCUCCAGAAUUUCAAACUAAGAUCUCUACGUCGUCAGUAAUCAACAAUGCGGAUUUUCAAUUUGAUAUCAACGACACGGACAAUGAUGAGAGCAAUUGCAACAUUGACAUCAGCGAUUUGGUUUCCUAAAUUUAGCAUCAACAACUCGAUUCAAGAGGAAGAUUAAAAGUUGGAAAAAAGAAGAAUGAAGAUUAAAGUAAGU